UACGUAGGGGGCAAGCGUUGUCCGGAUUUAUUGGGCGUAAAGAGCGUGUAGGCGGCCAUGCAGGUCAGCUGUGAAAACUCGAGGCUCAACCUCGAGAUGUCGGUUGAAACCGUAUGGCUAGAGUCCGGAAGAGGAGAGUGGAAUUCCCGGUGUAGCGGUGAAAUGCGCAGAUAUCGGGAGGAACACCAGUGGCGAAGGCGGCUACCUGGACCAGCACUGACACAUGAGGCACGGAAAGCGUGGGGAGCAAACAGG
Molecule: ribosomal RNA, 255 nt
Filed under: uncultured bacterium
Lineage: Bacteria
Description: partial 16S ribosomal RNA
Rfam family: Bacterial small subunit ribosomal RNA
Source: RNAcentral